This 253-nucleotide ribosomal RNA is filed under the name uncultured bacterium. Its description in RNAcentral is "partial 16S ribosomal RNA". It matches the Rfam family "Bacterial small subunit ribosomal RNA", at positions 524 to 776 of the family's 1533-position model. The record is from RNAcentral.
UACGUAGGGGGCUAGCGUUGUCCGGAAUCAUUGGGCGUAAAGCGCGUGUAGGCGGUCCGGUAAGUCCGCUGUGAAAGUCGGGGGCUCAACCCUCGAAUGCCGGUGGAUACUGUCGGGCUAGAGUGCGGAAGAGGCGAGUGGAAUUCCUGGUGUAGCGGUGAAAUGCGCAGAUAUCUGCAGGAACACCCGUGGCGAAAGCGGCGCGCUGGACCACUACUGACGCUGAGGAACGAAAGCGUGGGGAGCAAACAGG